Molecule: ribosomal RNA, 923 nt
Filed under: Janibacter sp.
Lineage: Bacteria; Bacillati; Actinomycetota; Actinomycetes; Micrococcales; Intrasporangiaceae
Description: bacterial SSU rRNA
Rfam family: Bacterial small subunit ribosomal RNA
Source: RNAcentral
AUAUUGGGCGUAAGAGCUUGUAGGCGGUUUGUCGCGUCUGCUGUGAAAAUCCGGGGCUCAACCCCGGACUUGCAGUGGGUACGGGCAGACUAGAGUGUGGUAGGGGAGACUGGAAUUCCUGGUGUAGCGGUGAAAUGCGCAGAUAUCAGGAGGAACACCGAUGGCGAAGGCAGGUCUCUGGGCCACUACUGACGCUGAGAAGCGAAAGCAUGGGGAGCGAACAGGAUUAGAUACCCUGGUAGUCCAUGCCGUAAACGUUGGGCGCUAGGUGUGGGACUCAUUCCACGAGUUCCGUGCCGCAGCUAACGCAUUAAGCGCCCCGCCUGGGGAGUACGGCCGCAAGGCUAAAACUCAAAGGAAUUGACGGGGGCCCGCACAAGCGGCGGAGCAUGCGGAUUAAUUCGAUGCAACGCGAAGAACCUUACCAAGGCUUGACAUAUACCGGAAACAUCCAGAGAUGGGUGCCCCUUUUGGUCGGUAUACAGGUGGUGCAUGGUUGUCGUCAGCUCGUGUCGUGAGAUGUUGGGUUAAGUCCCGCAACGAGCGCAACCCUCGUUCUAUGUUGCCAGCACGUGAUGGUGGGGACUCAUAGGAGACUGCCGGGGUCAACUCGGAGGAAGGUGGGGAUGACGUCAAAUCAUCAUGCCCCUUAUGUCUUGGGCUUCACGCAUGCUACAAUGGCCGGUACAAAGGGCUGCGAUACCGCAAGGUGGAGCGAAUCCCAAAAAACCGGUCUCAGUUCGGAUUGGGGUCUGCAACUCGACCCCAUGAAGUCGGAGUCGCUAGUAAUCGCAGAUCAGCAACGCUGCGGUGAAUACGUUCCCGGGCCUUGUACACACCGCCCGUCAAGUCACGAAAGUCGGUAACACCCGAAGCCGGUGGCCCAACCCUUGUGGGGGGAGCGUCGAGUGGGACUGUGAUGG